GCAUGUUGCAAGGGAAGCAUAAAAAAUCUCUCAUAUUCCUGAACAGAAGUUCAAAUAUGCAUAUCCUUGCAAAAAGCAAAACUGCUAAAUGUUAAAAACCUAUACCAGGUGCAUUUUCACAUAUGUCACAACGGGGCACAUCACUAGGAUCAGCAAGCCCAACACGAACAUGUCGACUAGCAAGCUUGUUACAUAAAUGGACCUUCUCAUCACAGGAGCGGCAAAGAGCGGCCUCGUCGGCGGCGCAGAAGAGGAUCGCAGCGGCGCUCUCGCAUACGUCGCAAAGCGUUCGCAUAUCUCUAUUUACUUACUUACUUUUCGUUUCUUUUUUUAAAAUAUUAACUUAAUAAAUUUAAUUCACUCUUUAAUCCGUGCUGCUCAUUGUUAUUCCUUUCUUCCCGUGAGCGCCAUUUCUAUGUUUUGCAGAGCAAAAGAAAAGAAUUGAUCAGUUUCAAAGAGUAUUGAAGAAGGAAACAAGAGAGAGAUUGAGAGAGAUGCAGAAAUGGAGGUUUAAGAGGGACAGCGUGUGAAGGAGAAGAAGUGGAAGAAGCUGAGCAGAGAGGAGGAGAGACACAAAUGGAAGUCGUUUGGAGUCUCAGAAACUGGAGAAAGAAAAGGAAUAGUUUCGACCUUGGCCAAAAGUCUCUAUGUAUUUCCUUUCUUCACUAAUCACUAGUCGCUGCUUUU
This 687-nucleotide unclassified non-coding RNA is filed under the name Hevea brasiliensis (rubber tree). Lineage: Eukaryota; Viridiplantae; Streptophyta; Magnoliopsida; Malpighiales; Euphorbiaceae. The record is from RNAcentral.